Daphnia pulicaria is the source of this 560-nucleotide long non-coding RNA. RefSeq lists it as uncharacterized. The record is from RefSeq and is a predicted model, not a curated record. The transcript is spliced from 2 exons. Lineage: Eukaryota; Metazoa; Arthropoda; Branchiopoda; Diplostraca; Daphniidae.
CGUGUGUUAUUCUGAUAAGAAUGACUGAAACUAAACCUGUCAGUCAACAUAUUGAAGAUUGCGAACCAGAAGAUUGUAUUUUUCCAACAGACAAAUGUGGUAGUUGCGGGAAAUUUUUUCAAUAUUAUGACGCUGGGGGGUAAGUAAUUAUUAAAUUUUUGGUCUUAAAAUGUCCCAUUCAAGUUUUUCGUUGUUGUAUAAUGCCUUUCCCUACGCCAGCAAUUAUAAAAAUAUAUUUACAUGGUCAGCAGUGAGACUGCCCAUCACAUCUUUAGUGGUGAGCCUGUGAAAAAUGAUGAGCCCGAGAAAAGAGAAAACCCCUGUGGUGACCCCUCUUCAGGAAGACCACCAAACAGGCGCAACAAAUGUGAUAUCUUGUUUUGCAACAUUCCUAAGAAUGUCUGCAAAGAUGACCCAAUGGAAUUGUUCAAAACAUGCGGGGCAAUCUUGGCUAUUCAGCUAAAUUUUCACCUUGGAUACGGGUUAAUUCAAUUCUUAAAGAGCGAAGCACUCGCUACAACGGUACGCUCGCAACCAAAUGUUGCGAAAUAACCGAAAAU